UUGUGAGGUUAAACUCACUCUCUCCCCUAUUGUAGAUAAUAUUAUUUGUUCAAAAAUUAAAAUAUAAAAAAUUAAAAAAAAUUAAAAAAUAAAACAAGCAGCAAUUCAUGCAAGACCACAAGUCAUAAUUAAUUCAGGACAAAGAUUAGUUUGUUUGUUUGAUAGUCAUCAAUCAUAAACUAUAAUUCAUAAUUAAUUCAGGACAAGAUUAGUUUGUUUGUUUGAUAGUCAUCAAUCAUAAACUAUAAUUCAUAGUUAAUUCAUGACAAGAUUAGUCACUUCGUUUGAUAGUCAUCAGUCAUAAAUUAUAUUAUUAUGGGUCCUAUCCCCUAUCUUUUUGGGUCCAAUUUAUGUGUCCUAUCAAUUGAUCAAUUUCA
RNAcentral lists this long non-coding RNA (377 nucleotides) under Malus domestica (apple). Its description in RNAcentral is "long non-coding RNA (MDOM_LNC009391)". Lineage: Eukaryota; Viridiplantae; Streptophyta; Magnoliopsida; Rosales; Rosaceae. The record is from RNAcentral.